GGAGAUAUAGCUCAGUUGGAAGAGUGCUUGCCUUGCAUGCAUGAGGUCCUGGGUUCAAUCCCCAGCACCACUA
Molecule: transfer RNA, 73 nt
Filed under: Marmota monax (woodchuck)
Lineage: Eukaryota; Metazoa; Chordata; Mammalia; Rodentia; Sciuridae
Rfam family: tRNA
About the family: Transfer RNA (tRNA) molecules are approximately 80 nucleotides in length. Their secondary structure includes four short double-helical elements and three loops (D, anti-codon, and T loops). Further hydrogen bonds mediate the characteristic L-shaped molecular structure. tRNAs have two regions of fundamental functional importance: the anti-codon, which is responsible for specific mRNA codon recognition, and the 3' end, to which the tRNAs corresponding amino acid is attached (by aminoacyl-tRNA synthetases). tRNAs cope with the degeneracy of the genetic code in two manners: having more than one tRNA (with a specific anti-codon) for a particular amino acid; and 'wobble' base-pairing, i.e. permitting non-standard base-pairing at the 3rd anti-codon position.
Source: Rfam by way of RNAcentral